UCCCGGCAGCCCGAGUUGUGGCCACUAUUACUGGGCUUGAAGCGCCUGUAGCCGGACUAAUCCGUCUUUGGUUAAAUCCUCCAGCUUAACUGGGGGGCCGCUGAAGAUACCAUUAGCCUAGGGACCGGUAGAGGGUAGAGGUAUUACACAGGUAGGGGUAAAAUCCGUUAAUCUGUGUAGGACCACCAGUAGCGAAGGCGUCUACCUAGAACGGGUCCGACGGUGAGAGACGAGAGCCAGGGGAG
This 245-nucleotide ribosomal RNA is filed under the name uncultured archaeon. RNAcentral's name for it is "partial 16S ribosomal RNA". It matches the Rfam family "Archaeal small subunit ribosomal RNA", at positions 474 to 719 of the family's 1478-position model. The record is from RNAcentral.